This 488-nucleotide ribosomal RNA is filed under the name uncultured bacterium. RNAcentral describes it as "bacterial SSU rRNA". It matches the Rfam family "Bacterial small subunit ribosomal RNA", at positions 43 to 518 of the family's 1533-position model. The record is from RNAcentral.
CGCGGUUUAAGCAUGCAAGUCGAGCGGCAAGGGCCUUCGGGCCCCUAGAGCGGCGGACGGGUGAGUAACACGUGGACAAUCUCGCCCCCCGGCCCGGGAUAGCCCAGGGAAACCUGGAUUAAUACCGGAUGAGACGGGACCUGCGAUGGCGGGAUCCGGGAAAGGCGCUACGGCGCCGCCGGGGGAUGAGUCUGCGUCCCAUUAGCUAGACGGCGGGGUAACGGCCCACCGUGGCGACGAUGGGUAGCCGGCCUGAGAGGGUGGACGGCCACAUUGGAACUGAGACACGGUCCAGACUCCUACGGGAGGCAGCAGCUAAGAAUCUUCCGCAAUGGGCGAAAGCCUGACGGAGGCCGACGCCGCGUGAACGAAGAAGGCCGUGAGGUUGUAAAGUUCUUUUCGGGAGGGGGAACAACCGUGGCAGGGAAUGGCCGCGGGAUGACGUGAAUCCCGGAAUAAGCCCCGGCUAACUACGUGCCAGCCGCGGC